RNAcentral lists this ribosomal RNA (485 nucleotides) under uncultured bacterium. Its description in RNAcentral is "partial 16S ribosomal RNA". It matches the Rfam family "Bacterial small subunit ribosomal RNA", at positions 28 to 506 of the family's 1533-position model. The record is from RNAcentral.
GACGAACGCUGGCGGCGUGCUUAACACAUGCAAGUCGAACGCUGAAGACCUGGCUUUUGUUGGGUUGGAUGAGUGGCGAACGGGUGAGUAACACGUGAGUAACCUGCCCUCUUCUUUGGGAUAACGCCCGGAAACGGGUGCUAAUACUGGAUAUUCACUGAUCUUCGCAUGGGGGUUGGUGGAAAGGUUUGUUCUGGUGGGGGAUGGGCUCGCGGCCUAUCAGCUUGUUGGUGGGGUGAUGGCCUACCAAGGCUUUGACGGGUAGCCGGCCUGAGAGGGUGCCCGGUCACAUUGGGACUGAGAUACGGCCCAGACUUCUACGGGAGGCAGCAGUGGGGAAUAUUGCACAAUGGGCGAAAGCCUGAUGCAGCGACGCCGCGUGAGGGAUGGAGGCUGUCGGGUUGUAAACCUCUUUCGCUCAUGGUCAAGCCGCAACUGUGGGUUGUGGUGAGGGUAGUGGGGAAAGAAGCGCCGGCUAACUACGU